Molecule: ribosomal RNA, 460 nt
Filed under: uncultured bacterium
Lineage: Bacteria
Description: partial 16S ribosomal RNA
Rfam family: Bacterial small subunit ribosomal RNA
Source: RNAcentral
CCUACGGGUGGCUGCAGUGAGGACUAUUGGUCAAUGGACGAGAGUCUGACCCAGCCAAGUAGCGUGAAGGAUGACUGCCCUAUGGGUUGUAAACUUCUUUUAUAAAGGAAUAAAACGAGGCAUGCGUGCCGUAUUGCAUGUACUUUAUGAAUAAGGAUCGGCUAACUCCGUGCCAGCAGCCGAGGUAAUGCGGAGGUUCCGAGCGUUAUCCGGAUUUAUUGGGUUUAAAGGGAGCGUAGAUGGGUUGUUAAGUCAGUUGUGAAAGUUUGCGGCUCAACCGUAAAAUUGCAAUUGAUACUGGCAGUCUUGAGUACAGUUGAGGUAGGCGGAAUUCGUGGUGUAGCGGUGAAAUGCGUAGAUAUCACGAAGAACCCCGAUUGCGAAGGCAGAUUACUAAACUGUGACUGACAUUGAUGCUCGAAAGUGUGGGUAUCAAACAGGAUUAGAUACCCUAGUAGUC